GCGGAAGUGCUGGAAUCGGCAGACAGGCACGCUUGAGGUGCGUGUGUCAAUGACGUGUGGGUUCAAGUCCCAUCUUCCGCACCA
Molecule: transfer RNA, 84 nt
Filed under: bioreactor metagenome
Description: tRNA-Leu
Rfam family: tRNA
About the family: Transfer RNA (tRNA) molecules are approximately 80 nucleotides in length. Their secondary structure includes four short double-helical elements and three loops (D, anti-codon, and T loops).
Source: RNAcentral